RNAcentral lists this ribosomal RNA (497 nucleotides) under uncultured bacterium. Its description in RNAcentral is "partial 16S ribosomal RNA". It matches the Rfam family "Bacterial small subunit ribosomal RNA", at positions 28 to 507 of the family's 1533-position model. The record is from RNAcentral.
GAUGAACGCUGGCGGCGUGCCUAAUACAUGCAAGUCGAGCGAACGGACGAGAAGCUUGCUUCUCUGAUGUUAGCGGCGGACGGGUGAGUAACACGUGGAUAGCCUACCUAUAAGACUGGGACAACUUCGGGAAACCGUAGCUAAUACCGGAUAAUAUUUUGAACCGCAUGGUUCAAAAGUGAAAGACGGUCUUGCUGUCACUUAUAGAUGGAUCCGCGCUGCAUUAGCUAGUUGGUAAGGUAACGGCUUACCAAGGCAACGAUGCAUAGCCGACCUGAGAGGGUGAUCGGCCACACUGGAACUGAGACACGGUCCAGACUCCUACGGGAGGCAGCAGUAGGGAAUCUUCCGCAAUGGGCGAAAGCCUGACGGAGCAACGCCGCGUGAGUGAUGAAGGUCUUCGGAUCGUAAAACUCUGUUAUUAGGGAAGAACAUAUGUGUAAGUAACUGUGCACAUCUUGACGGUACCUAAUCAGAAAGCCACGGCUAACUACGUG